CGGGACGGGUGAGUAACGCGUGGGUAACCUGCCUCAUACAGGGGGAGUAACAGUUAGAAAUGACUGCUAAUACCGCAUAAGCGCACGAGAUCGCAUGAUAAAGUGUGAAAAACUACCGGUGGUAUGAGAUGGACCCGCGUCUGAUUAGCUGGUUGGUGGGGUAACGGCCCACCAAGGCGACGAUCAGUAGCCGACCUGAGAGGGUGACCGGCCACAUUGGGACUGAGACACGGCCCAAACUCCUACGGAAGGCAGCAG
RNAcentral lists this ribosomal RNA (258 nucleotides) under uncultured bacterium. Its description in RNAcentral is "partial 16S ribosomal RNA". It matches the Rfam family "Bacterial small subunit ribosomal RNA", at positions 98 to 354 of the family's 1533-position model. The record is from RNAcentral.